UUUAAAUAGCUGCAGUAUUUUAACUGUACAAAGGUAGCGUAAUAAUUAGUCUUUUAAUUGAGGUCUAGAAUGAAGGGUUUGACAAGAAAAUACCUUUAUUAAAUUAACUUAAUGAAUUUUAUUUUUUAGUUAAAAAGCUAAAAUUUUUAAAUGGGACGAUAAGACCCUAUAGAUCUUUAAAUUUUUAUUAGAUAAAAUUAUUUAAGUUAAAUUACAUUGUAUUUUUAAAAAUUUUUUGUUGGGGUGACAAAUAAAUUUUUAAAACUUUAAUACUUUAUUCCAUAAAUUGAUGACUCAAUGAACCUAAAUUUAGGGUAAUUAAAAUAAGAUACCUUAGGGAUAACAGCGUAAUAAAUUUGUAUAGUUCAAAUAGAUAAAUUUGUUUACGACCUCGAUGUUGAAUUAAUCUUAAGUUUUGGGGCAGCAAUUAAAAUUUUAGGUCUGUUCGACCUUUAAAAGAUUACA
This 465-nucleotide ribosomal RNA is filed under the name Criomorphus niger. RNAcentral describes it as "partial 16S ribosomal RNA". The stretch from base 339 to 465 matches the Rfam family "Bacterial large subunit ribosomal RNA", at positions 2473 to 2600 of the family's 2925-position model. Lineage: Eukaryota; Metazoa; Arthropoda; Insecta; Hemiptera; Delphacidae. The record is from RNAcentral.